RNAcentral lists this ribosomal RNA (301 nucleotides) under uncultured bacterium. Its description in RNAcentral is "partial 16S ribosomal RNA". It matches the Rfam family "Bacterial small subunit ribosomal RNA", at positions 509 to 807 of the family's 1533-position model. The record is from RNAcentral.
CAGCAGCCGCGGGAAUACGAAGGGUGCAAGCGUUACUCGGAAUUACUGGGCGUAAAGCGUGUGUAGGUGGUUGUUUAAGUCUGUCGUGAAAGCCCUGGGCUCAACCUGGGAAUUGCGAUGGAUACUGGGCGACUAGAGUGCGGUAGAGGAUAGUGGAAUUUCCGGUGUAGCGGUGAAAUGCGUAGAGAUCGGGAGGAACAUCAGUGGCGAAGGCGGCCAUCUGGGACAACACUGACGCUGAGGCACGAAAGCGUGGGGAGCAAACAGGAUUAGAUACCCCGGUAGUCCCUGUCUCUUAUAC